AAUGGAGUGCCUGAUUAAAGGGUUACCUUGAUAGGGUAAAUCAAGUAACGUUUGGUUACCUCCAUUA
RNAcentral lists this transfer RNA (67 nucleotides) under Mesonemoura tritaenia. Its description in RNAcentral is "tRNA-Ile". The record is from RNAcentral. Lineage: Eukaryota; Metazoa; Arthropoda; Insecta; Plecoptera; Nemouridae.